Molecule: long non-coding RNA, 1259 nt
Filed under: Marmota monax (woodchuck)
Lineage: Eukaryota; Metazoa; Chordata; Mammalia; Rodentia; Sciuridae
Source: RNAcentral
AUUUUUUAAUGCAGAGUAAUACUCCAUUGUGUAUAAAUGCCACAUUUUUUUUUUAUCCAUUCGUCUAUUGAAGGGCAUCUAGGUUGGUUCCACAGUCUUGCUAUUGUGAAUUGUGCUGCUAUGAACAUCGAUGUAGCAGUGUCCCUGUAGCAUGCUCUUUUUAGGUCUUUAGGGAAUAGACCUAGAAGGGGAAUAGCUGGGUCAAAUGGUGGCUCCAUUCCCAGCUUUCCAAGAAAUCUCCAUACUGCUUUCCAAAUUGGCUGCACCAAUUUGCAGUCCCACCAGCAAUGUAGAAGAGUACCCUUUUCCCCACAUCCUCGCCAGCACUUGUUGUUGUUUGACUUCAUAAUGGCUGCCAAUCUAACUGGAGUGAGAUGGUAUCUUAGGGUGGUUUUGAUUUGCAUUUCUCUGACUGCUAGAGAUGGUGAGCAUUUUUUCAUGUACUUGUUGAUUGAUUGUUCAUAACCCACUUGAAUCAAAGUGUGUAAUAUGAUAUAUCAAGAACUAUGUAAUGUUUUGAACAACCAACAAUAAAAAUUUUUUAAAAAAAGAAUAUAGUAAAAAGUAAAAAAAAAAAAAGAAUGAAAUUUGGCAUUUUCCAGUAAAUGAAUGGAAAUGAAGAAUAUCAUGCUAAGUGAAAUAAGCCAGUCCCAACAACCCAAAGGCUGAAUGAUUUCUCUGACACAUGGAUGCUAACCCACAACAAGGUAGGGUAGGGAGGGAAAGAACAGAAGUCCAUUACAUUAGAUAAAGGGGGAUAAGCGGAAGGGAGGGGUAUGGGAAUAGAAAAGACAGUAGAAUGAAUUGGACAUAUUGUUCCUUUGCUCAUAUAUGAAUACACAGCAGUGUAACUACAUAUUAUGUACAAUCACAAGAAUGGGAUCCUAAUUGGAAUGGAUUUUACUCCAUGUAUGUAUAAUAUGUCAAAAUACACUCUACAGUCUGCAUGUUUAAAAAUAACAAAUAAAAACAUUAGCCAGGAUUUUUAAAAAGACAACAAAUGUCACUUUAUACUGGUGAAGGUAAUUAUCCAACACCAGGACAUGAUGAUUGUAAAUAUUUAUGCCCUAAACAAUGGUGCAUCUACAUAGAGAAAACACUCUCUUCUCAACAUUAAAAAUCAAAUAAACCAAAAUACAAUAAUACUGGGUGACUUCAACACACCUCUCUCACCACCAGAUAGAUCAUCCAGACAUAAACUAAGAUGCUUCAGAUCUAAAAGUACUGUUAACCAAAUGGACCAAACAGACAUCUAUAGA